Molecule: long non-coding RNA, 982 nt
Organism: Mauremys reevesii (Reeves's turtle)
Lineage: Eukaryota; Metazoa; Chordata; Testudines; Geoemydidae
Exons: 5
Source: RefSeq, a predicted model, not a curated record
GGAAAAAGAAGAAAGGAAUCCUUGAGCUUUGGAGCAGAGAACACUUCAGACCCUCUUUCAUGCUGCCUCUGAAUGCCCUUCCCUGCUGAUGGACAUCAGUGCUCUUUUCUGAAAAUACAAGUCCUGACUUUUGUCUUUGCUGGAUGACUGGAAAAUUAGUGGGGAUUGUGAUAUUACGGUUGGCUGAAACCUGAGCAAUGGAGAGGUGAAGAGCAUGUUCAGCAGCUGCUCCGCCAGAAGAUUCUAUUGCUACUGUUAUGAAAUAGUGGAACACACUGAUGUACGCAAUUAGAAAAGACCACUUGGUUGAAAUGGACCAUAAGUACAUUCUAGAGUUUGUGUGCAGGAAACAGGCUACAAGUACACACGAUCUCCGCUGGGAGCCUUUGUCACAGAGAUGAUGCACUGCAGUCUCACCAGGAGGUAAACUACGCAAGGUCAACCCUCGGUGGUGGUGGAAGUCAAGUGUGGACCUCACCUAGCUACCUUAUGAUAAAAAUUACAGGUCCCUGCCAGGAUUUGGCAGCAAGUACUUCCUGUGGGCACAUGCUGAAAGAACAGGCCUGGUUCCAAAGCAUCCUAACCAUAAAGAGAACGAAGGUGAUGGACAAGACAUGCUUUGUUCUUCUUCCGAACUAAAAGGGAACAGAUGAAAGUUGUCAUUAUCUCUGCUGGCUCCAUCGCAUCAAGAAAUACUCGAGUCACUCUCACUUAAGUUUGCUUAUUCAAAUUCUAACCAGAACUAUUCAAUUUCGCUUUCCUGACCGCACUGCAGAGAGCCCGAGGUGGCUGAGAUAAUCUUGAGAGCUUGAAAAACCUCCAGCUACAGCCUGAGGUGAGGCAGAUGUGCUUUGCUCCUUAUACCUCAUUCCUAUGUGUCUGUGCAUUUUUCCAGUUUUUGGGCCAAUACACCCAGGUCUUUCUGCUCCUAUGUUGCUUGCAACUGAUAAAUCCCCAGUUUAUAGCAAAAAAUUUUGUUGGU